This is a long non-coding RNA of Gordionus sp. m RMFG-2023, 330 nucleotides long. RefSeq lists it as uncharacterized. The record is from RefSeq and is a predicted model, not a curated record. The transcript is spliced from 3 exons. Lineage: Eukaryota; Metazoa; Nematomorpha; Gordioida; Chordodea; Parachordodidae.
CACUUUUAAAUAACUAUUUUUAUAAAUGCGGCAUAUCAAAUUUUUACAUUGGAAUUUUGUGGUCAAUAUAUGGAAUAUUUCAAAUGAUUAGCAGUCCUAUAAUUGGAAAGCUUAGUGAUAUUAUGCCAAGGCUCUUAAUUUUAUCCAUUUGCCUAUUUGGAGCAGGAAUAUCUUAUUGGAUGUUGAGCCUUUCAUUUAAUAACUUUUAUAUAAUUUUAAUUUCAAGAAUUUUGUCUGGUAUUUUUAAACAUUCAAGAAGCUUGUGUAAGUCAAUUAUAGCAACAAAUAUAAAAGAUAUCAAUCAAAAACCACAGCUUUAUAAUGAUAAAG